CCUCCUUACCAUUACGUCGAUAGACGCACUUGAUGCAGUGCCUACACAGAUAGUCUUGUUUAUAUUUAAAGAUGGCUUAAAUAAAAGCCCUUGGCUUUGAUUUAAGAUCAAACCUAAGUGUUUUGAAUUAAGCGCUAUGUUCUUUAACAAUUUGGAAAGCUGAUAUUAAUAGUAAUCAAUCAAAAUUGAGUAACUGANAAGUCNAAAGACGUACUUUUUACUCUACUUGACUUGAAUUGCUUGUUAUCAACAUUGAUUGAUANCNAGGCAAUUCUUCCGAUUAGCUUGUCAUGCAUGCAACAUUACCCUUGUCCGAUUUCAAAAGGCGGACAUGAGGCCNAUACUCAAGGCUUUUUAGGGUUGA
This 364-nucleotide unclassified non-coding RNA is filed under the name uncultured Alteromonadaceae bacterium. Its description in RNAcentral is "partial 16S-23S ribosomal RNA intergenic spacer". Lineage: Bacteria; Pseudomonadati; Pseudomonadota; Gammaproteobacteria; Alteromonadales; Alteromonadaceae. The record is from RNAcentral.